GUCAGUGUGGUGUAGUGGUUUGUGUUUUGGACUAUGACUCUGGAGGUAAGGGAUUGAAUCCCACUUGUUGACU
Phrynosoma platyrhinos (Desert horned lizard) is the source of this 73-nucleotide non-coding RNA. The record is from the annotation of a GenBank genome assembly. Lineage: Eukaryota; Metazoa; Chordata; Lepidosauria; Squamata; Phrynosomatidae.